UGCCGUGCCUGCGUAUCGCUUCGUGGACGCCGUUCGUCUCCUAAUAUCGUCCACACUACCGCCGCUCCCUUUGCCAUUUUGCGUCAGGGCUGGGAAGGUGGUGGUGACUGCACCACGGGAAAGGAUCCCACGACGCUGAGGUUGAAGUGGCUGCGGGUUUCACCACAGACACGCUGCGGCCUGCAAUCACUCUUGCGUGCAUGUGUUUGUGUGUGUGCUGGACUCAAGUGCGGGUGUGCUCGCUCAUGUGAUCGGCGAGGCGUCGCGUCGUGUGCGGAGCUCUUGACGGAGUAGCGACUUGACCAGCGUGUGCUUCAGACCCACCUCCCUCUUUCUAUCUCUCAUAGACGCACUGUCGCCCCGUGUUCCCUCCCUCUCCGCCCUUCAGCUCACCGCAUCCAUCCACAGAGAGAGAAGUGCUGCGGAGGUGCACCGGAGGCCUUUGCGAGGACCACACACCCCAAAGUGCAGAGACGACUUUCGUUCCUCCCGGCGGCGCGCUCCGUGUGCGCCUGCCGUAGACAUCUCUUCCGCCUACCAUGAGCACCCUACUGGAGAUCUACCGGCACAGCUUUCCCAAGCGGCUGCGCUUCGACAAGGCGAGCCAGGUGCUUUACGCCCAGUGCUACUCGAUCAACCGACGGUACAAGAACAAAAAAUACAUUCCGCAGAAGGAUAUACAUGACGUAUUGAACAGCUACGCCCCCAUGCCAGGCGCACCAUGGCUGCAGCUACCGAUUGUGCGCCACGUCUUGCUGAUCCGCCUCAUCAACAGCAUCCGUGGGCUGAAAGGCGGAAAGUCGUGGCUGUACAACCGUAACGUGGAGGAGGAGCACCGCAAGAUCGUGGAGUGGCUCGGCAAGGAAGCGAAGGCGUUCCCCAACCGCCACCACACCGUUGCUGCCCGCGCGUCGACCUCAGCGAGGCAAGGAAGCGCUGCCGCACACGCCGCGCUGGAGGCCACGGUGGAGCGCGAGCGGUUUGAAAGGGAGGUCCUGCGCAACUUUCAUGUGGCUACUAUGUACCAGCGCAUGGUGCGCCUCGGCUUCAUGCUGGUUGCGGCGCUGUGCUGCAUUGUGUACGCCUCUCUUCACACGGACAACCUCGUGUACUUGUACCUCUGCUACUGGCGGCGCUACAACCGGCGCGAGAUUAUGGAGUACUUCCGGGAUAUAACCCUGCUACACACCGUGGCGGAGGUGCCGCCGGCGUACGCUAGCCUCCUGCCACCACCAUGCGUGCGGUACAAUGACGCUGCAGGGGACGCCUGCUACGCGGUGAACAUGGUUGAGAUGGUACUGCCGCAGCACAACGUCGCCGUCAUUGCCAUUCCAUGCCCGCAGGCUGGGGAGAAGUCGUUCUUCGCUCAAGUCGGGUCCGUCGCGGAGGUCUGCGACGGCAUAAUCGUAGAGGGCGUCACCUUCGACAAGAUCGACAAACUCGUACCAGCAGCCUUCUUCCCGCUCAAGACCAACACGUUCCCUGCCCUUGGACUGCACCAUCGCUUCCUCGACAUAUUGCGCAACAGCUCUGCAGAACCACCGAUGCUGUACCCGGCUGGUGCUGAUGUGGGGUGGGGAGCCGCCAUCAUGCAAGCACUCCUCCCGUAUGAGCUCCGCUGCGUCUACAACCCUACAAAGUUGUCGGCGACGAAGGGCGAGGCACGUAUUGGCUGGGGCCAUGUGCGGCAGGUGCUGGAGGAGAUGAUGGAGGACGAGGCGGCGCAAGCGAGUGGUGAGAAGCGCGUUCUGUGCCUACCGUGGACUCUGAACCAAAUUGUCAACAUCGAGGCUAGUCUCGUGAAGUAUGGCUUCAAGGUACGCAACGUGUACCGGCUGCACUGGCAGCGAGAGGACCACAUGGGCGAGCACUUCUGCGACUACUUCUCUAUCGCUGAGUCAUGAGUGCCACGCCGCUGAUGUACUUGUUGGGUGCCGACCGCGACUUUGCUCAUGCCCACAUAUUCUUCGCACCGUGCAUCAAAAACGUCCACCGUCGCUCUGCACGAUCGUGGCCUGAGGCACCGCUCUCCAUUGCGGUGCUUGCGUGCCGACAGACGAGGGGACGAAGGGCGGCACCCGUAGCGGUGUGCACCCGUGUCUUCCAAGGUGCAAAGUUGAGGAAUGACAGUGGCGCUGCUGCUGCUGCUGCUGUGCGUCUGUGUGCAAACGUUUGCGUAUGCGUGUUAGCGCUUGUGUGGCCGUUGCUGCCGUGUCGCUCACGUUCACCUUUCCGUUGUCCGCUUUCGCUCUAACAGUGACCACCAUCUCGCCGCCCCAUCCCUCUUUGCCGCCUUGAGUAAAGCGAGCAGAGGGAGGGGGCGGCGAGGUGGUGGACAAUGAGUUGUACAGAUAGCACACCGCCGCCCCUUUCCACACAGAUAUCACUGAUGCUCCUUCUCCAGCCACGCAUGUGCACCUAAAAGCACGCGCUUGGCGACCAUGCCACCGCCCACCUUUUCACUCCUCUUCCCAUUACUGCCGCCGCUCACUGCAGUGCUUCCAGAGGACCCCCCCUCUGCUGAUACACCCUUCGUGUUGCUUGCCGUCCAUCGUUACCUUCUUUUUCCUGUCUCUCUUUGGCCCGCGCCGAUUGCUCAG
RNAcentral lists this unclassified non-coding RNA (2600 nucleotides) under Leishmania donovani. Its description in RNAcentral is "gene:LdHU3.25.2860(CDS-product:hypothetical_prote in_conserved)". Lineage: Eukaryota; Euglenozoa; Kinetoplastea; Trypanosomatida; Trypanosomatidae. The record is from RNAcentral.